GAGAGAAGGAAUCCUCUGCAGCAAGCACAGCUGUGUAACAGGCCUUCGAUCCAACAGCAGAGCUGAGUCGGGCAUAUUGGAGCCAUCUCAUUCUCCUUUAGCAAUCUGACACGACUUUCUGCAGCUACUUCCAAAAACUUCCCCUCGUUUUGCUUAGAUUGGGGAUGGGAUGAGGACAGAAAAUGAGAGGUCUACAAAAAAGUAUUUUUUCCUUCAUUUAUUGAUUAUAAAUUCAAGCAUUUACUAAGUGCUCUUGAUGGGUCCGGGCACUGCGCUCAAGGUCUUAUGUGCAUUCACUCUCUUAAUUCUUACAAUAACCAUCAAGUGGAUCAAUUUUCAACCUCCAUUUAACAGUUGAGGAAACUGAGCCUUUGGAGAGGUUAAGACACUUGUCCAAAGGUCACAUAGUAAGAGGCAAAGCACCGGGGAAGAUAAUAGAAGAUAAGAAACCUGCUAGAUGCUUGGAGGUCAAAUCUCCAUUUCCUCCAGCUCCUUUUGGACCUUGCCCCUCCCGCAGACAACCGGUAUGAAUCCCUUUCUCUUCAUUCCCAGGUGUAGGGAGGUAAGACAACAAUUACAAACCACACAUUUCUACCCUCUGGCAGAAUAUGAUCAAUAGUAAGCUAAAUCCUAUGGUUUAGUUUUAGACUUCAAGGUCUGAUUGCUUUGGGGGCUUCAUUCUUGAUAUUUUGAAUUUAUUAUGUAUAACUAUGUAUAUAUGCAUGCAUACAUAUCGAUUUAAGUCCAUACCUCCCCUUAAGUACUUUAGUGAAUCUUAUAAUCCCGUGAUAAAGCCCAACCUCUUAGCAUGCCCGGGAUCUCCUACCCUCCUUCUUUGUCUGGUUGACCCUUCUUCUCUGUAUGGAUUCAGCUCAGCAUACAUCAU
This is a long non-coding RNA of Myotis davidii, 886 nucleotides long. RefSeq lists it as uncharacterized. The transcript is spliced from 3 exons. The record is from RefSeq and is a predicted model, not a curated record. NCBI's taxonomy places the organism in Eukaryota, Metazoa, Chordata, Mammalia, Chiroptera, Vespertilionidae.